This 382-nucleotide ribosomal RNA is filed under the name uncultured fungus. Its description in RNAcentral is "partial small subunit ribosomal RNA". It matches the Rfam family "Eukaryotic small subunit ribosomal RNA", at positions 30 to 432 of the family's 1831-position model. Lineage: Eukaryota; Fungi. The record is from RNAcentral.
GCUUGUCUCAAAGAUUAAGCCAUGCAUGUUCAAGUAUAGCAAGUGUACAGUGAAACUGCGAAUGGCUCAUUAAAUCAGUUAUAAUUUAUUUGAUAGUGAAAUUGUACAUGGAUAACCGUGGCAAUUCUAGGGCUAAUACAUGCGUCAAUGGUCGGUCGACCAGUAUUUAUUAGAUACAAAGCCAGCCGUCAGGAUCAGGUGAAUCAUGAUAACCAAACGAAUCGCAAGCGCAAGCGGCGAUGGUUCAUUCAAAUUUCUGCCCUAUCAACUUUCGAUGGUACGGUAUUGGCCUACCAUGGUUUCAACGGGUAACAGGGAAUUAGGGUUCGAUUCUGGAGAGCGAGCCUGAGAGACGGCUAGCACAUCCAAGGAAGGCAGCAGG